GACGAACGCUGGCGGCGCGCCUAACACAUGCAAGUCGAACGGUGAAGAGGAGCUUGCUCCUCGGAACAGUGGCGGACGGGUGAGUAACACGUGAGCAACCUGGCUCUAAGAGGGGGACAACAGUUGGAAACGACUGCUAAUACCGCAUAACGUAUCGGGAUGGCAUCUUCCUGAUACCAAAGAUUUUAUCGCUUAGAGAUGGGCUCGCGUCUGAUUAGAUAGUUGGCGGGGUAACGGCCCACCAAGUCGACGAUCAGUAGCCGGACUGAGAGGUUGAACGGCCACAUUGGGACUGAGACACGGCCCAGACUCCUACGGGAGGCAGCAGUGGGGGAUAUUGGACAAUGGGGGCAACCCUGAUCCAGCGACGCCGCGUGGGGGAAGAAGGUUUUCGGAUUGUAAACCUCUGUUGACGGAGAAAAAAAUGAUGGUAUCCGUUUAGAAAGCCACGGCUAACUACGUG
RNAcentral lists this ribosomal RNA (463 nucleotides) under uncultured bacterium. RNAcentral's name for it is "partial 16S ribosomal RNA". It matches the Rfam family "Bacterial small subunit ribosomal RNA", at positions 28 to 507 of the family's 1533-position model. The record is from RNAcentral.